RNAcentral lists this ribosomal RNA (645 nucleotides) under Escherichia coli. Its description in RNAcentral is "partial 23S ribosomal RNA". It matches the Rfam family "Bacterial large subunit ribosomal RNA", at positions 2154 to 2798 of the family's 2925-position model. Lineage: Bacteria; Pseudomonadati; Pseudomonadota; Gammaproteobacteria; Enterobacterales; Enterobacteriaceae. The record is from RNAcentral.
GCUUUGAAGUGUGGACGCCAGUCUGCAUGGAGCCGACCUUGAAAUACCACCCUUUAAUGUUUGAUGUUCUAACGUGGACCCGUGAUCCGGGUUGCGGACAGUGUCUGGUGGGUAGUUUGACUGGGGCGGUCUCCUCCUAAAGAGUAACGGAGGAGCACGAAGGUUGGCUAAUCCUGGUCGGACAUCAGGAGGUUAGUGCAAUGGCAUAAGCCAGCUUGACUGCGAGCGUGACGGCGCGAGCAGGUGCGAAAGCAGGUCAUAGUGAUCCGGUGGUUCUGAAUGGAAGGGCCAUCGCUCAACGGAUAAAAGGUACUCCGGGGAUAACAGGCUGAUACCGCCCAAGAGUUCAUAUCGACGGCGGUGUUUGGCACCUCGAUGUCGGCUCAUCACAUCCUGGGGCUGAAGUAGGUCCCAAGGGUAUGGCUGUUCGCCAUUUAAAGUGGUACGCGAGCUGGGUUUAGAACGUCGUGAGACAGUUCGGUCCCUAUCUGCCGUGGGCGCUGGAGAACUGAGGGGGGCUGCUCCUAGUACGAGAGGACCGGAGUGGACGCAUCACUGGUGUUCGGGUUGUCAUGCCAAUGGCACUGCCCGGUAGCUAAAUGCGGAAGAGAUAAGUGCUGAAAGCAUCUAAGCACGAAACUUGCC